RNAcentral lists this ribosomal RNA (285 nucleotides) under Klebsiella quasipneumoniae subsp. similipneumoniae. RNAcentral describes it as "partial 16S ribosomal RNA". It matches the Rfam family "Bacterial small subunit ribosomal RNA", at positions 466 to 750 of the family's 1533-position model. Lineage: Bacteria; Pseudomonadati; Pseudomonadota; Gammaproteobacteria; Enterobacterales; Enterobacteriaceae. The record is from RNAcentral.
CGAUUGACGUUACCCGCAGAAGAAGCACCGGCUAACUCCGUGCCAGCAGCCGCGGUAAUACGGAGGGUGCAAGCGUUAAUCGGAAUUACUGGGCGUAAAGCGCACGCAGGCGGUCUGUCAAGUCGGAUGUGAAAUCCCCGGGCUCAACCUGGGAACUGCAUUCGAAACUGGCAGGCUAGAGUCUUGUAGAGGGGGGUAGAAUUCCAGGUGUAGCGGUGAAAUGCGUAGAGAUCUGGAGGAAUACCGGUGGCGAAGGCGGCCCCCUGGACAAAGACUGACGCUCAG